UCUCCUCACCCGCCUGUUGCAAGAACCGUAUGGAGAUGGGUGUGGCCGGACUUUUCACUUUAUUAAAGUUAACUGUUGGGACCAGGAUUCUCUGGAAUCUCCUCAUCUCAACCUCAGUCUAACUCUGGAAAUACCAGGCCAGGAGGCAGACCAACAAAAAGAAGCCACCCAAAGUAAGAAAGAAAUAAGCAACAGGGGCGAUGUCCGGCCGAAUCCCCAGCAAAGCUAGCCCCAGGAGGAAGGAGGUGCAACACAGGAAGAGAAGCGGCUUCUGCAGAGUCCCCCACAAUUGCCUUGGCACCAUGGCCCCUCGCCAGGCUCCUGCAAAAAGACACACAGCUGUUGUGUCUAAACUAGCAAUUGGCAUCACCGCUGGGUUAGAUUUCAAAGUAAGCAUAUU
Long non-coding RNA from Mesoplodon densirostris (Blainville's beaked whale), 400 nucleotides. RefSeq lists it as uncharacterized. The transcript has 3 exons. The record is from RefSeq and is a predicted model, not a curated record. Lineage: Eukaryota; Metazoa; Chordata; Mammalia; Artiodactyla; Ziphiidae.